GACGAACGCUGGCGGCGUGCCUAAUACAUGCAAGUCGAACGCUGAUUUUCUAACUAAUGCUUGCAUUGACUUGAAAAUCGGAGUGGCGAACGGGUGAGUAACACGUGGGUAACCUGCCUAUCAGAGGGGGAUAACACUUGGAAACAGGUGCUAAUACCGCAUAACAGUUUAUGCCGCAUGGCAUAAGAGUGAAAGGCGCUUUCGGGUGUCGCUGAUGGAUGGACCCGCGGUGCAUUAGCUAGUUGGUGAGGUAACGGCUCACCAAGGCCACGAUGCAUAGCCGACCUGAGAGGGUGAUCGGCCACACUGGGACUGAGACACGGCCCAGACUCCUACGGGAGGCAGCAGUAGGGAAUCUUCGGCAAUGGACGAAAGUCUGACCGAGCAACGCCGCGUGAGUGAAGAAGGUUUUCGGAUCGUAAAACUCUGUUGUUAGAGAAGAACAAGGACGUUAGUAACUGAACGUCCCCUGACGGUAUCUAACCAGAAAGCCACGGCUAACUACGUGCCAGCAGCCGCAGUAAAAC
RNAcentral lists this ribosomal RNA (527 nucleotides) under uncultured bacterium. RNAcentral describes it as "bacterial SSU rRNA". It matches the Rfam family "Bacterial small subunit ribosomal RNA", at positions 28 to 526 of the family's 1533-position model. The record is from RNAcentral.